CCCCGUGACCUCUCUCUCUCCUGAAAUAAAUCCUGCCAACCUCUCUCUCUUCCCCCCAGAGAUACCCAAUUUCACGCCCUCCUCCUCCAAAAAUCGCUCAUCUCUGCCGUCCUCCUCCCAAAAUGGAGCCGUCAGCCCGCCGCGAGGCUCGUCGCGCGUGCCCCAAAGACACCACACCUGAUCGAGCCCUCUGAGCCGCCGCAUUCGCCUGCAACAGAUCCACCUGAUCUCGAUCUCCGCCGCGAGCCCUCUGAGCCCUCUGAGCUGUAGCCAAAUUCUCGGUAAUGAUUAAAAUUUUCUCGGUAAUGAAGGGCUUAAUAUUUUUGAGCUAUCUUGUAAAAUCCGAGUGAAUAGCAUCAAUGGUGGGUGGGUGGAACACAGGUUGAGCAUUCUCUUUUAUGUAGCUAUCUUGUAAUGUGAUUUGAGCUUAUAUUCAGCUACUUUGGUUGUAACUUUGGAGGUUAAGACUUUCUUUGAUGAAACUCUGUUUGAUGUUGUAACUCAUGAUGUAACUCUGUUUGAUGCUUGUAGCUUUGCUGUAGCUUAUAUUCAGCUACUUUGGUUAUAGCUCAAUUCUCUUUUAUGCAGCUAUCUUGUAAUGUGAUUUGAACUUAUAUGCAGCUAUCUUGUAAUGAUUAUUCAGCUACUUUGGUUA
Molecule: long non-coding RNA, 655 nt
Organism: Asparagus officinalis (garden asparagus)
Lineage: Eukaryota; Viridiplantae; Streptophyta; Magnoliopsida; Asparagales; Asparagaceae
Exons: 3
Source: RefSeq, a predicted model, not a curated record